AUGCUCGGGUUUCUCUUCAUAUCGUAUAAAUCUUUCGCCUUUUACUAAAGAUUUCCGUGGAGGGGAACAAGUAUGAGUGUAAAGUAAUUUUUUGAGGCUUCACAGGAGUGAAGCU
Pipra filicauda (Wire-tailed manakin) is the source of this 115-nucleotide small nuclear RNA. RefSeq annotates it as U5 spliceosomal RNA. The record is from RefSeq and is a predicted model, not a curated record. The transcript has a single exon. Lineage: Eukaryota; Metazoa; Chordata; Aves; Passeriformes; Pipridae.